This 58-nucleotide transfer RNA is filed under the name Pallisentis celatus. RNAcentral describes it as "tRNA-Arg". The record is from RNAcentral. Lineage: Eukaryota; Metazoa; Acanthocephala; Eoacanthocephala; Gyracanthocephala; Quadrigyridae.
GUAAUUGUCGAAAGGAUCGUUUAUAAUUUCGACUUAUAAGUUAGCUAGUGCUAUUACU